UCCGCGGGUCAGCUGUCGUACAGUGCAGCAGCAUGACUCCUGAGCACGAACUGGAAAGCGAGGAAGAUGAAGCGCCCGAAGAGGUGACGUUCCAGAGCGCCAAGAGCCGGGCGGAGGAAAGUGCCCGGGCAAGACGGGAGGCGGCCAACAGAGAAAAGGCUUUGCUGAAGGAGAAGAGGAAGCGCAAGGAGGAGCUGUUUAAAGAACAGAAGAAAAAGAAAUUGCUCCCAGACGACAUCCUCCAAAGCAUCAGCUCUCUUCCAGAUGAACGGGAGGAACCGAGUGAACAGCCUGAAGGCCAGAGUAAGACAGGGAAUGAAGGACACAUCAAAAAGAGGUCUGCAAAGAAGCUGCGUCCUCGAAAAAGGUUGCAAACUAACUACGAGGUAGUACAAUUGGAAACGUACAGUUCAAAAGACUUACUGCAGCAAAGAGCAAAAUCCUUCAUCCAUAAAAAGUUAUAUGGGAAGACCAAGAACAGGACCACAGCUAAUGAAUUUCUCUCAAUUUCAAGGAAAAGGGGUUUCAUUAAAGAGCCGGCAGUUCAAUUUACGGUCGACAGCUGGGGCAAAGAGGAGAAACCGAAAGCGGCACAGUUCAAUCUUCGAUGGGUGAACAGAAAGAAACGAUGAACCUUUCGGAAUAUUACAUUUUUGACUUUGCAACUCUUCUCCCUGUGACGUGGUCUAAUGUGAUAUGUAGUGCAGGGUAGCUUCCUGUUUUCCAGAUUUCCAUCAUAUCCACAUAGCUAUAUUAGACUGUGUUUAUUCUGUUUUACAUUUUUAUUCGGUGGUACAUUCAGGCCUCAUGCACACAACCCGUAUGUAUUUUGCGGAUCCACUCUCUUGUCCUGCUUAUUUUUGGUAUCUUCUGAUAUAAAGUAUUGGAAAGUUUCACCUAUUGUAUACAUGGUCACAUCUGCUUUUACCCAUUAAAGAUUUUUGUGUGAGCUCUGCUUGCAGCCAAUAGAAAGUGAAUGGAGACACUCUAGAGAAGGCUUCCUCCUGGCUGAGAAUAGACUUGAUGCCUCCCGCUGACCUCUUGGAAGAUUCUGGAGAUAAGCAGUUUAGCACAGCAUAGCAGAUGGAGUGCUGAAGGCAGCUCACAUACUUAUAUAUUUUUCAUGCUCAAUCUACAGGCAAAGGAUUUUGUUUGGGCCAUCAGCCAGAUUUGCUGUAAGCAGCUUGAUUUGAGUCUUGCUGCCCUCAUAACUGUGUUCUGUACAGAUCUAUGGCAAUCCCACAACCAAAGAAGUCAUUUUUAGAAAACCGUAGCCUGUUGUUCAGUGUGGUUUUUAUACACUAUGCUGUGCACUAGGGCUGCAACGAUUAAUCAAAGUUAUUUAUAUUAUUCUAUAACUGGAUUCGUUGUCGACGAAUCCCGUUAUCGAAUAAUCGGCCGAUUCAUUGCUAUGCAGGCGGUCAGGCGCUAUGCCUACGGGUCCUUAACUGGCAGUAACUUUUACUUGAACUCUAAAUCAGCGCAUCUUUAUUACCUUACAAUGAAGCUCCGGUAACAGGCAGAGCGGGCGGCGGUGUUACGUCACUUACGUGACGUGC
Molecule: RNA transcript, 1559 nt
Organism: Bufo bufo (common toad)
Lineage: Eukaryota; Metazoa; Chordata; Amphibia; Anura; Bufonidae
Gene: NOL7
Gene name: nucleolar protein 7
Exons: 9
Source: RefSeq, a predicted model, not a curated record